Brassica rapa (field mustard) is the source of this 10159-nucleotide long non-coding RNA. RefSeq lists it as uncharacterized. Lineage: Eukaryota; Viridiplantae; Streptophyta; Magnoliopsida; Brassicales; Brassicaceae. The record is from RefSeq and is a predicted model, not a curated record.
UUUAAAAUGAAAUACGAUAAAUAAAGAUAAAAAUUUUAAGUCUUUUAUAAAAUAAAGUACAAAUAUAUGAAAAUGUGAUAUUUACAAAAUAUUUGUCAAUUGAAAAAAAAACAAAAAUAAACCCGCGCUUUGAAAACGCGGAUCAAAAUCUAGUUUUCAUAUUAAAAGGCGAGAAACAAAAUGGUGAAAGCUAGAUGCUUAAGUUAAUUAAAUGGUAAAGGCCCAGUAAUUAAGCAGCCCAAAUACAGAAAACUUUGCAUGCGAGUCGGAGGAACCGGAUUCAGGACCGGACCUGACCGGAGUUACCAAGAGACAAUUAGUUCAGAGGAGCAGACGAUCAAAGAAAGAUGAGGACUGUGAGGAAUAGAUGAUCAAUGAAAGAUAAGUGAAUGUUCUAUCUUUUAUAUCAAGAUUCACUUUUUCGUUUAACCUUUGUUUGUUUCUUCUUUAAGUCGGCAAGAUUCUUAUAUAUCUGAAAGUAUCAGACUAAUCCACGGGUUGAGAAUUGAGAAGUACAUUGACUAUUUUCCCUAAAGAAUACCAAAAAAUAUUUUUAUUUAAAAUUAAAAAAAACUUUUAAAAUUGAACAAUAGGUGAGGAUACGACAUCGUUUAACAAUGGUACAUGUUUUCCUGAGUUUAAUAACCUAAAUCUUUUUCCAUCUUCGUGAGUACGGCGAGUUUAGAAUCGUCUUUCUCCUUUUUGUGUUAUCUUUUUUCUCUAGAAUAGCUCGUUUCUUCGUCUCCAAUCAAGCUUGAUUUAUCGCUAGCCUCCAGUCUUUUUUCACGCUAUCAAUCGCUGGCGGUUUCAGCAUCUUCAUGUUAUUCACCAGCACAACCGUUGAUUUCACCUUCUUGAGCCACCGGCGAACUUCUUUACCGUCUGAACCACAACACAGCUUAUAUCGCCGCGUUAACCACCUUCAGAUUGGUAAGGUAUUGGCUCUUUGACUUUGUUUUGUUUUUGGAUUUCGAUAAUUUUGGUAGCUCCAUUAAUACAUUCUUCUCUCUAUCCUCUUCACAAUCAUCAAUGAAUUUCUUCAUAUCCUUUAUCGCCUUGAUCCUCCUCUCUCAUCCGUCACUAACGCUUUCUUCCUCCUGCUGUAGCGUACUUGUUUCCAACGAUUGUCUUUCUUUGGGAAGUCUUGGGCUUCCUCUCAUAUGCGAGAGCUCUGUUUACCAUUGUGCUCUGGAAAGUUUGGGAAUAAAAUGGGGAAGAAAUCUAAUCGGUUGGACACAACAACAACUUACACCGGAGACUGGCCGGAAAUAGUCGUCCUCCGUAAUUUAACUCGGGCUCUAUUGUCAGUUCAAAAACACAGAGUUCAAGAAUGGCUGCAGCCUUAGGCAUGUUUAGUCACGGUCCAGAAAAUGAUGAUAAAAGAUGGUGGGCUUAGAUCAUGUAAGUUGCAGCCCAAGUGACUAAACUAUCUAAGACCGCAUCAAAUUCAUUAAAUCGUUAAUGAAACGCAGAGUUUCGAGAUGGUAGGACAGGUGUCGCACUCACAAUCAAUGACUUUUUGACCUGGCGCUGACGUGGAUGCACAGGAGUGAAGCAAACAUUUUUUUAUAUAUAUAGAUUUUGUAAAGUCAACAGUAAAGUAUUAGAGGUAUAAAUAUACUUGUGGGUUUUAUUAAAUCAUAUUAUAAAUAUUUUGUUUCAAAGAGGCUACUUUUUUAGAUUUGUAAAAACAAAAAUGGUAUAUAGAGAAACUAAAAUAAUUAUGAAACCAAGUUAAAAAAACAUUCAAUCAUGAGAAGAAAUUUAAUGUAAAACAAAAAUGUUAUUAGCAACUUAAUUUAUGUUAAUAAAUUGGGCCAUAACAUUAUGAAAGAAAAGUGUAAUGGACUUUAGUCAAUAAUCGAAACCCAUAUUUUUUUGUCUAAAAAAAUAACAGAAACUCUUUUCACUCUACCGAUUUUUCUUUUUCCAUCAGGUAAAAAGGCAGCGAUGGAUGCCUUGCGCUUCAGCUCUGGACAAUUUAGAGCUUGAUCAUGUUAAUUUCUUCAGUAUAACCACUGCAGAAGAUAGAUCUAUAAUUAGUUUCAGCCUUUGGUAUAAAGGUUAGAGUUUCUUGAUUUAGGUUUAAUUGAGUGUUCACGAUUUGCUUCUUCUAAUCUACAUUUUUUGUUUUGAUAUUUCAAUGACCAUCAAAGGUAUGGAAUACCAAGACCCUUCAAUCCGAUAGACAGAGCCCGACUUCAGCUUUAAAAACAGGGAUAAACCCGUUGCAGUCCUUUGAUCAGUAAAAGUGUGGUAAAAACUAUCUUUUGGUUUAUUUAGCAAAAUGAUUUCCAUUCACUUUUCUUUAGCUCAUGAACGGGAUGGAGUGAUUAACAAAUUGGAUUGAUUGUAGAAGGUCUUAAUAAAUGAGAAGCUAAUAGACAAUUUUUCAUAAGAGAAGCCGGAUUGACUUGAUUGUCUCAGUUUGGUUUAUAAAUAUUAUUGUUCAAAGCAUAUAUGAUAUUGAAGAUUUCAGCUCUGUUUAUAUGUUAUUGCGUAGAAGUAGGAAUGACUUUUUGAAUGAUGUUGAGUUUUGGAAGGAAAAAGUAUGAUUUUUUUUUAUUUUGUAUUCAUAUUAAAUAUAAUAAGAUCCAAAAUCGGCUAAACCAUAAAAUCCCUAAUCCAUAAAAUCGGCUACCCAAUGUUGCUCCUCAAAAAUGAUAAACAAUUAACCGAAUGUUAAAUAUCUCGUAUCCGUUAGUAAAACUACAUUAUCUCAUCUAAAUUACAAAUUUCAUGUUUUUGUGAAAUUAAGAAGCAAUCGUUUCUUUGGUUUGGUUUUUAAUUAAACCAUUGUCAUAUGUUUUAUUGGUUUGGAUUUGAAUAAUAUAAAGAUUGUUUAUUAUAUGGGCCACAGAGUUAUUAAAAGCCCAAACCAAUAUCUAAACUAUUAUUUCUAACAAAACAAAAGGAAAUAUAGGUUUCGGGAUUGUCAAUUGAAUGAAAAGGUUAUUAUUGAAUGUAAUACAAACGACUGUGUUUUAAUCAGAGUGGCAUAAAAGAGUAAUUUGUGAGGAAAACUCAGGGCUAAGUACAAAAUGUACUUUUCUUUUAAUAGUUUAGAUUAUUAAGAUUGAAGUAUCUUUUGAUACUGUUUGGAAACAUGUAUAGCAGUAUAAAUGAGAAUUGUUUGGAAACAUAAAUAUCAACAUAAAAUAAGUAUAGUGUCUUUUUCGUAAUUUUAUUAAUAUAACUGCAUUAAUUGUCUUUACAUAUUUCAAUCAUUUUAUCAAUGUCAUUAAUUAUAUUAUCUUUACAAUACAUCACAUCAUUAAUUUUAUUACCAUAAUAAUAAUUUUUCAGAUUUUUAUUUAUUAGUUCAUAAACAUUAACUUUGUACCAAUUAUAAAAUCAAAAAUUUAAAAUAACAUGGUUUUACAUAUGGUUAACCGUUCGGUUUAGGUUGCUUUACUAAAACGUUUUGUUAAAUUUUAGUUUCAAUCGGUGGAAAAUUACGUAGCCAAAAAAAUAAUUCAAAUAUAUGUUUUUGUGAAUAAAAUAAUAACUUAAAUCAAAAUAAUAUAAAUGCAUUACAUCUAUUGUCACUUAAUUUUUCACUCCAUAUAAUUAUUUUAGUAAAUAAAAACUCUUUCUAUUUCACUUGAUUUAGCCAAACACACAGAAAUAAUCUUUUAAUUAGUUUAUAAGAUCAGUUAUGCAUGAACCUUGGCUAUCCAUUUAGGUACGUGUUGUUCUUUUCGGGUAUCAUUAUUUUUUUUUCAAAUUAAGCACCGCUUGAAUAUUAUAAAUUUAUAUGUGGGUUUUGAGUUGGGUCAUUCUAGGUCUGGAUGAGUUUGGUUCUAAUGUGUAGAAACCUAAAACUAUCUAAAUAACAAAUGUAUCUGAAAUGGAUUCGGAUAUUUUUACCAAAGAUAACCAUAUUAUUAUUAUUAACUAUAUAACCUAGCCUAAAAUUAAGGAACUAAAAAACUAAUCUAUUAUUUUCUUAAAUAAUGAAUUAAAUUUAUAUUAACACUGAAUAACUAAUCUAUUAAAGUUUAUUAUAUAUAAAAUUAAAUUUAUAUAUAAUCUAUUAAAUUUUUAUUAACAAAUAGUUUUGUAUAUUUUAUUAUAUAUAAAAAUUUAAUACUUGAUAAGAUGGAACAUUUUAUUAUUGAUAUAUUUUAAAAUAUAGUUUUACGGGUUAUUACAACAAACAUGUAAAAUAUUUAUCAAACAUAAAACUAACUGAACAAAACAUAAAACCACUUUAAAUUAGGCUUGAGCGUUCAGGUAACCGUUGGGAUACGGGUUGGGUAUUUUAAAUUUUGGUUCUAAUUCUAAUCACAUCCUAGAUCACAUUCAGGUAAACUUUUUAAGUAUGUAUCGGGUUAGGAUAUCACAUCGGUUUUGGUUGUAAUUUUUAUCAAUUCCUAAAACCAUACAGUAACCAUAUAUCGUCUGGAUUUGGGUUAUAUUGGUUUGGUUGGGAUAUAUUCGAAGUUAAAUCCAAAAUUUGAAAGCAAAACAUAAGAAAAUAAAUACAUGUUUAUAUAGAAUUGGGUAUUCAGGGUACUCAUUUAAAAUUUAAAUACUUAUUUUUAGUUAUCAUUUUAAAACAAAUUUUUAAUUGAAUAUUUGAAGUACAUAUUUAUUUUUCAACUAUUUAUAUUUGUAAUUAAUUUGGACAUUCAAAUCUGUUAUCGGUUCUUUUCGGGUUAUUCGUUGGAUUUCGGCUAAUGACACUUUGGGUUCUAAUAUGUUUUGUACCACCCUUCAAGAUCCAUUCAGCUAUUUCUUACAUUUCAGACCGGGUACGGAUCGGUUUUUGGUUUGGGUUUGAUUCGAGGUGGCUCCUAAAAAGUAGGGACGAGUGGUGAGAACAAGCUCCGUUAACCAAGUCGCAAGGGAAACUUCGUCCUACUCUUCGAGAUGGAACCCAUGGAUGAAGUACGAGACUCUUCAGGAAGGAACGUCCCCAACAACUACUUCGACGGCGUCCUCCCUUAGCUUUUAAUUUUUUAUUUUCUUUUUAUUAUAAAUUUAAAUAUAACUUUAUGACAUUUAUAUAAUUUUUACAAAAAAUAUUUUAAUUUUCAACAUUUCAUUUUAUAAUUUGAAUUUUUAAAUUUUGAAUCUUUUGUAAUAUUAUAAUAAUACGGCAAUGAGAUGUAAGUUCCUUGUAAUGUUUACAAGGAGUUUAAAGGGAAGUACUUGUCAAAUCCUCGUAAGCUUUACAAGGAAUUUGCUAGGAAAUACUUGUAAAUUACUCGUAAAGAUUAUAAAGACUUUACAUGGAAAGACUUGUAAUUUCGUCGUAAAAUGUACAAGCACCUAAAGAUGACUUUACAAGGAAACUAUAUGAAUCCUUAACGACGAAGCGUACCUACAAAAUUAUGACAAAAUCUUCUCAUUCACUUUUAUGACAAAUUCAUUUCAUCUUAAAUGUUACGAGGAAGUUACAACGAAUCUUCCAUUAUGGCGGGUGUUUUACAACGAAACACUAUUCCUUGUUAAUUCAAUGUAAUUCUCCUAUUACGACAAAUUAACAAGGUAGUGUAAAUCCAACAUUAUAUUUUUUACUUUUUAUCAACAUAACAUAUCAAUUUUCUUAUUUAAAAUAUUUACAAAUUGAAGGAGAUGAACCUAACUAAAUGAACAUAAAAAUAGUAAUAUAAUUCUAAACGAACUAAAAGAAAACAGAUAAAACAGUUGUUAAAUUUGAAAUUAAUGGAUGCAAGUCAACAUACCUAAAAGUUAAUACUUGAACUGAUUCGAAAUUUUAUAAUUGAAAUCACAUAUCUUAUUAAGAUUAAGAUAUAGUGACACUCAAUACAUUUAUAUAUAAAAAUUUCAAAACAGUUUAAAAAAUAUUACUUCUCACAAAAGUCACUAAAUGGAUACCCUUAACAAACUAGAAGUUAUACAUAAUUGUCAUUUAAAAAUUUAUUUAUAUAACAUAAAUUUUAAAAGUAUUUGAAAAAUAAAAUAUUUUAGAUAUCCAUUUUUCAAAAAAUAAUAUUUUAUUAUUAUUAUAAUUUUGAUCAAUUGAUAGAAAGAACAUAAUACUUGAAGAAAAAAAUGAUCAUCUAAUAUCAUAUUUCUCAAAUCAUAUGCCUAAUUACAGAAAAUAUAAACUUAUUAAAUUAUAUUCUACUCAAAUUCCAUACAUAUAAAUUAUAAAAUGUCUUCAAAUUUCUAAAUAAAUAAAAAAUUAUUAACCGAUUAUAAGAAUUUAGUUAUUAUAUAAAUAUUCAUAUAUGUACGUGAAAUUCUCAAAAUAUUAAAAAAUAUGUUUAUUAAUGCAAAUCCAACUUUAUAUUUAUAUUUUCUAUUUUUAAUCAGAAUAACAUAUAUCAAACUGUAUAUUUAAAACAUAUAUUUACAAAAAAUAAGAGGACGAACCCAACUAUAUGAAAUUAAAAAUAGUAAUCUAAUAUUAACCUAAUUAAAAUAAAACAGGAAAAACCACUUUCCAAUUUGAAAUACUAGAUGCAACUCAACUAGAAAAAAAUAUAUUUAAACUUAUUCGAAGUAUUAUAUUUGAACGUAUAUAUUUAGUUAAGAUGAAAAAAAAUAACUACUUAAUACAAUUUUAUAUAUAUUAGAAAAUGAUUUAAAACUUAUAAACAAACGAAAGGGAAUAUUUACCAAUUGUUAUGAUUUGAUUAUUUUUAAAAUGUUUAUAUUUGUAAAUAAGUACGGGAGAAUCACCUAUACAUAUAAAUAUACACACUUAUGUAUGUAUAGUACGUCUGCAAACAUUCUGUAAGAGCAAUGGCUUCGGUAAGAGUUGCAUAUGCAUCAUAUGUGUCAUCCACGACAACCACGAUCAUCGUGAUUUUACCCACUAUGAUUCUACCGUGUGAAUAUUGAGGCUCGAAAUAUGCUCCUAAAGACAUAAAAUGGCACUCCACAUCUCUAUCCCUAAUGUGAGGUAACUUAGAUGCAAGCAGUGCCGGUCCUGAUUAACACGGUGCCUAAAGCGAACUAAAAAAAUAAUGCCCUUAACUAAAUUAUAUUUUACUAUAAUCAUCUUUGAAAUUUUCAAAAGUUCUACAACUUUGAUCAUACGACAUAAAACAUUAACAAUCCUGCAACAAAAAGAAAAAAUAUAAAUUAUAGAAAAAGAAAAAUACAACAUACACCAUCAAUUUUAGUUUGUAUUUUUUUCUUUAAGUUUUAGAGUUUCACCUUAAGCUAAUUUCAUAUUUUGAGAAUUAAAAAUAAUUUAGGUAGAAAAUUAGUAACAAAGAAUGAGAAUAUAUAAUUUUUGUAGUAAAGAUUAACAAAAAAAAACAAUAAUAAUAAAUGUCAAUUGCUUUUUUUUUUGUAACACAAUAACUGUCAAUUGCUAAGAUGAAGAAAAUAAUUAGUUUUGUUUGAUUCUCUUGUUUAUUUUAAAUAAAUAAAUAAGUUUUUUUUUGUUAUAAUCAUUAUCAUUCCAAAAUUUAGUUAUUGUUUACUUUUGUAACUUAUAAGUUUGUCUUUAGUUUAUUUAACUUGUAACUUAUAAGUUUGUCUUUACUUUAUUUUAGUUAUUAUUAUUAGCAAAAAAAGAAACCAACUUAAUUAGUUUGUCUUUAGUUUGUUUAACUUAUAACUUAAUGCCACUAUAAUCCGUAGACAAAAGGAAAUUAAAGUUGCUAGAAAAGAUAUUAAAAUCUUUAAUGAUUAAAUAUUAUUAUUUGUUACCAUUAUCAAAAAGAAAAAUAAAAUAGAAAAGAAUAAUCAAGAAAGGAGGAUUCAAACCCGUCAACUUACUUGAAACAGAACACUGCACAAGUCACUACACUAAAAAAUCAUUUGAGAUUUAGCGCUCCUACAAAACAUAUAAUUUUGGCGCCUAAAGCUCUGGUUUUAUGGGCCGGCCCUGGAUGCAAGUUCUAAGUCCUUCCACCAUUUGUAAACUUACACAUAAAUGCAUUGGGAAAGUGAAAUCUUUCUAUCAACAAGAUUGAAGAUAAGUACGUCACCUGGUAAGAGUUUUGAGUUCUUCGAUGUAAAGAAACAGGCAAAAAUUGAAGUUAAGCUUUGCAAACUUGAGAAUGAUCUCAUUGUGACUUUCAUCUUGUUCAUAAUAAGAAAUAUAUUCCCUAGCCACUAGUACUUCUAUGUUACCGUAUCGAGGUAUAUAUAGUGCGUUUUGUAUAUGCUUGAAGAGAUGGGGACCAAUAGCACUGGAUUCGUUAUCGCCAUCUAAAGACUCCAAGUGGUUCCGCGUGAAACUCAGCGCUUCGUCCAUUCCUCUAACAUCUCUGGCUAGAGUCUCCUUGAACCUACUAUCUUCACCUCUGAAUCUAUCGAAGGCAUCUAAAAAUAAAAAUUAUGUCUGUUAUAAAUAUAAUUGUAUACAUAUAUUAGGUUAUGAAUACAUGUAUGUUAAUCCAGGAAAACUAUUACUCUUACCACAAGACAUGUUGUGACCGUACACUCUGAAGACCUCAAAUAUAGUGGAGAUUGUUUCCAAAUCAUCUUCCCCGCAAUUAUGUCAUCCAACUUUGGGAAACUGAGGUUAAGGAUCUCUGCGAUCUCCUUGUCAAAAUAAUAAGAGAUUCCUAUGGACAUGAAGGCAUGAAUAAGAUUGACAUGAGGUGGCUCAGUGAUACCACUCGAAUUACCCUAUGAGUGAUUUAUGCUCUCUCAAAUAAGAGGUCGAGUUGUAGUACUUAGGGAUCGAAUUCACAGGGAGCUAGAGAACCUAAAAAAUCUAAUGUGAUUUGUUAAGUUGGCUGUUUUAACGGUUUUAAAUGUAAAUAGCAGUUUAGAAAUCAAACAAAGUAUUUGCUUAAUUGUCUGGUUGAGGUUUUGGUGCUUAUUAAGAAAAUAGCUAGACUUAGAGUUUUUAUUCAGGAAAAUUUGGAUUAUAAUCAUACAGAUGCCUAAUGAGUUGCUUGCAUGAUAAUGUAAAGCUCAAUUACUUGAUCAACAAGUCCAUCAGCGUUCGCAAUGUUUGGACUCGUUUAUUAACUAGAUCUAUUGAUCUCAACUGCCGUAUUUUGAUCAAUAAAAAGUGUCGAUCGAUAAUCCUAUAGGGAUAUCGAUCGAUACACCUUUUGCCCCGCCGAUCGAUGAUUCAUGUGUAAUAUCGAUCGACGCGCUCUAGUCAAGCUUUAUGCGCAUGUUGAAUAAUAGCUUACUAAGCUCACUAGAUCAGCUCUCGCCUUGCUCGUAGCAAGAAACAUAGUUCUAUUAGAAUGUUUUCAGGAUGAGAUUAAAACUCUUACUUUUAUCAAUCAAAUCCAAGGGCAGGUUCUUUGUAGCUAAUCUAGACACAUGCAUUAAAUCACAAUCCUAAAGAUGAUUGAUAUUACGUGUAUACGCACACCAAUUAACAUAAUGUGCACACUACCACAAUCGAAUGGUAUGUCGAUGUAGCACUUUAGGAUCAAAUCCACAGAGACCAACGAUUACACUUUAUCUUUAUGGGAUCAAUACUUAGCUAAAACAAUGAUGGGGUUUUGAGAUUAAGGUUUCGUAACAAGCAAUUAAUAAGAUUAAUUAAAGAUUUCAGAUGAUUAAAAUGCUAGCCUAGGGUGGUUUGGUUGGGUGUUAAACAAGUGUGAGCCAAACAAUUAUUCAAGUUCGAUUAAAGACCAGUCUAGAACUCGGAUCACUUAAGAUAGAUCAGCCCACUGUCGUGGUGCUUCACCUUUUGUCAAUCAAUCUCAGUACCUAACCUGUCGUUUGGACUGAGAUGCGAUGACAAACAUUAAGAUCAAGUCCGAUCUGUUCACAAAACACCCUAACAUCUACUUUUGCUGGUUAGGGAUAUGAUGCUCAUUCAAGUUAUGUCUAGCAACCUAUAACACUUUUGAUGAAUAGAUUAAACCUAGAAUCAGGCACUAAGUGGUUAACUUGAUGCAAGUCUUAAGAACAACAGUGAAUGAAGACAAUCGAUUUAUAACUUAUUUAUGUCAAGCUCACGGAUCUAACACCCUAACACCCUAGACUAAGCAAGCUGACUACUCAGCCAUGAAGCAAGAAAACACAGAGACAGAGAUAUAAAGCAACAUGAAAUAUGACUGAAAUAAAGUAGUAGGGUUCAGGGGGUUCUUCUCUAAAUCGAGAGAGAUGGCCUUCUCCUUUUACAAAGUAGCAAAAUCUCAAGUCUCCAACUCUAAGGUCUGGUUUCUUCUCCAAAAAAUAGCGUAAAAUGAUAAGGAAAAACAGAAAAAGAAGAUAUAUCAAAGCCACAGGUGGCUGGGAGAGAAAA